GCUCGGUUAGUCAAGUGGGCUAAGACACUGGCCUUUCACGUCAGUAGCACGGGUUCGAACCCCGUACCGAGUA
This 73-nucleotide transfer RNA is filed under the name Bacteriophage sp. Its description in RNAcentral is "tRNA-Glu". It matches the Rfam family "tRNA". From Rfam's summary of the family: Transfer RNA (tRNA) molecules are approximately 80 nucleotides in length. Their secondary structure includes four short double-helical elements and three loops (D, anti-codon, and T loops). The record is from RNAcentral.